RNAcentral lists this ribosomal RNA (431 nucleotides) under uncultured bacterium. Its description in RNAcentral is "bacterial SSU rRNA". It matches the Rfam family "Bacterial small subunit ribosomal RNA", at positions 958 to 1393 of the family's 1533-position model. The record is from RNAcentral.
AACGCGAAGAACCUUACCUAGACUUGACAUCUCCUGAAUUACCCUUAAUCGGGGAAGCCCUUCGGGGCAGGAAGACAGGUGGUGCAUGGUUGUCGUCAGCUCGUGUCGUGAGAUGUUGGGUUAAGUCCCGCAACGAGCGCAACCCUUAUCAUUAGUUGCUACCAUUAAGUUGAGCACUCUAGUGAGACUGCCACGGUUAACGUGGAGGAAGGUGGGGAUGACGUCAAAUCAUCAUGCCCCUUAUGUCUAGGGCUACACACGUGCUACAAUGGUGAAUACAAAUAGAUGCAAUACCGCGAGGUGGAGCCAAACUAUAAAAUUCAUCCCAGUUCGGAUUGUAGUCUGAAACUCGACUACAUGAAGCCGGAGUUGCUAGUAAUCGCGAAUCAGCAUGUCGCGGUGAAUACGUUCCCGGGUCUUGUACACACCGA